AUUAGCGCAGUGGUUCCCAACCUGUCUGACUUGUGUCCCCUUAAAAUGAAACAAUGUCAACUUGUGACCCCUUUUCAUAGAUUUAAUACAAAAUUUAUUGACCUGUGAAUGAUUUUCCACUUUCAGCUUUUAGUUUGAAAACACUUUUUAAAAAGGAAUGAAAUUAUUUCAUUUUCACAUGACAGUGUCAAUUACUGAAGAAAAAUCUGAAAAAUCAUUUCAUGUUAAGGUGUAUAAUUUCAGUGUUCCAUUAAUCAUCUCAUGAUCCUUCAAAUUUGUGCAUCUUUUGGGGGAUCUCAGGUUGGAACACUUUGUUAUUGAAUUCACUCCAAACAGGUGGUUUGCUUUCAUUCAAUGAUAUAACACAGGCAGAGUUAAUGAUAUAUCACUCAAGGUAGUGAUAUUUUUCUUCAUAAGUGACUUGCACUGUAUAAGGCUAACAGCAUGUUUGUCAAUAUUAUUUAUUAUUAUGUUAUAUUAGAUUUUUUCUAUAUCAUUUUUGUGAACCUUGCGAUGUAAGAUGUUAUUUGAGAAGGCAAGACACACCUCUGAGGUUGAUGUCAUUAUAUGACUGAUAUUGAACAAAAUAUGGCAUCAUGGAAUUUUGUCAUUCCUUGUAGUGAAUGUGCGUGUGUGUGUGUCAAAGUGGGAGGGUGUAUAGCAUAUAUAGGCUGGUUUCCCAGUGAAAAGUGCUUUGCAAAGUUGCACUUCGCUGUUUUUACGUGGUUUGUUUAUCAAGAGUCACUGAUCAUUAAGCGAAUCAGUUACUGCUGACACGAUGGAUCAUAAACUCAAUGGACUUCUAAGGCACUGUGUACUUGUUUACAUGCUCCUGGAACUCCAGUGGGGGCCAGUGUCUACUGCUCCAAUUCACAUCAGCUGUGGUGACUUAGACCUAGACAAUGCUGAGAGUCUCACAAGGCUACUGGGACAUGAGGACAGAUGACCUACUGAACGAAUAUAUACGUUUUCAUGGACCCAGGACUGGAUCAGUUCCAAAUGAUGUCCCUGAUUCCACAGUAUCUGGUGUCAGCAUUUUUGAGAAGCUGCAGGACAUCUACAUCAAGAAUGUGCUGUUUUAUUUGCACAUUUUAAAAGUAGAAGAAUAUAAUAUAAAAGUCUGGGGCAACCCAGAAUAUAUUGCUGGGAAUUUGAGUCUCGUCAACGGUAGAAUCAACCACCAUUUAGUUAAAAUUAAGACUAUUCUCAAAAAACUCUACCCUGAAAUCGCUUUGCCAGCAACACCAGCCCCACCACAGUUGUCCCACGAUGAAUAUGCUAACAAAGAAUAUGGAUGGGGGGUCAUAGUAUCAGUGAAAGCCUGGCAUGAACAAGUGCUGCAAGUAAUUGAGGAGAUGAAGAAGAUGUGUGACCAACCAGCAGCAGGUGGUGGCACUUCAUCAGUUGAAGACUGAGAAAAUAUAUCUGAGGAUGUUACUUGGUAUCCUUGUCCUCCCUAAUAUUCUGAGCCAUGCUUAUUUUUAUUUUCAUUUUAGUUUGUGUUUUUUUUUACUUAUACCCUGGUAUGAUCAGGUAAAGUAACUCUGGGAAUUCCAUCUCUGGUUAAUACCAGAGUGCCAUUAAGUUUUGGAGAUCUAUGUACUUGGGGUCAAAUUUUGGUGCUGAAAUUAUCUUUGGGUUUAUGUAAUUAUAUCAGUUUUUAUUAAUGGAUAUUUAUUUAUUUAUUUAUUUAAAAUACAAACAUUUGUGUGCUGCAUCUACAUUCAGCAGAAUCUAAUGUAACUUAGGUUAGAAUUAUUUACAUAUUUAUUGAAUAUGUGUAUUUAUUUUCUGAAAAGGGCUGAUGAUUCUUCUUCUUAUAAAUCUUAUUAAUCUUAUUAUUUGUAUUGUUAUUGACCACGACACUUUAUUUAUAUAAUGUAGCACUUAUCCAAAACCAGUAUUUACAAUGUACAUAGCAGGGGGAAAAAACAUGAAGAUGAGAUUCAUUACAAGCUUGUGAAAAGGCUGCCUACAUUUUCACUAGGCCCUGUUUCCCAACAUUAAUGGUUUGUAAUUUUUUUAAAGAAUGUGUUAGAUAAUUUAUUUCUGUCCUAUGUUUGAGUCAAUCCGUUAUUUAUUAAUUUAUUAGUUAGGUAACAAAACUGUUGUGUAAUUUUAUUUUUGUUUGUUUAAUUUAUUUUCCUGUGAAGGUGUAGGUAGUCUGCUCAAUCAGUGUGAGUGGAAACAGGUUUGCAUCAUCAGGUCCUCUCAGCAGUGAGGGGCUGGGUGCUGUCAAGUUGUGGGAAGGAGGGUAUGAAUGUUAAAAGUAAAUUACAUUCAGUAAA
Long non-coding RNA from Lates calcarifer (barramundi perch), 2288 nucleotides. RefSeq lists it as uncharacterized. The transcript is spliced from 3 exons. NCBI's taxonomy places the organism in Eukaryota, Metazoa, Chordata, Actinopteri, Centropomidae. The record is from RefSeq and is a predicted model, not a curated record.